GACGAACGCUGGCGGCGUGCUUAACACAUGCAAGUCGAACGGAAAGGCCCUGCCUUUGUGGGGUGCUCGAGUGGCGAACGGGUGAGUAACACGUGAGUAACCUGCCCUUGACUUUGGGAUAACUUCAGGAAACGGGGGCAAAUACCGGAUAGGAGCUCCUGCUGCAUGGUGGGGGUUGGAAAGUUUCGGCGGUUGGGGAUGGACUCGCGGCUUAUCAGCUUGUUGGUGGGGUAGUGGCUUACCAAGGCUUUGACGGGUAGCCGGCCUGAGAGGGUGACCGGCCACAUUGGGACUGAGAUACGGCCCAGACUCCUACGGGAGGCAGCAGUGGGGAAUAUUGCACAAUGGGCGGAAGCCUGAUGCAGCAACGCCGCGUGCGGGAUGACGGCCUUCGGGUUGUAAACCGCUUUCGCCUGUGACGAAGCGUGAGUGACGGUAAUUGGUAAAGAAGCACCGGCUAACUACGUG
Molecule: ribosomal RNA, 468 nt
Filed under: uncultured bacterium
Lineage: Bacteria
Description: partial 16S ribosomal RNA
Rfam family: Bacterial small subunit ribosomal RNA
Source: RNAcentral